RNAcentral lists this ribosomal RNA (240 nucleotides) under uncultured bacterium. RNAcentral's name for it is "partial 16S ribosomal RNA". It matches the Rfam family "Bacterial small subunit ribosomal RNA", at positions 94 to 334 of the family's 1533-position model. The record is from RNAcentral.
AGCGGCGGACGGGUGAGUAACGCGUGGGUAACCUGCCUCAUACAGGGGGAUAACAGUUAGAAAUGACUGCUAAUACCGCAUAAGACCACAGCACCGCAUGGUGCGGGGGUAAAAACUCCGGUGGUAUGAGAUGGACCCGCGUCUGAUUAGGUAGUUGGUGGGGUAACGGCCUACCAAGCCGACGAUCAGUAGCCGACCUGAGAGGGUGACCGGCCACAUUGGGACUGAGACACGGCCCAA